GGCGAAAAGAACCCCGGGAGGGGAGUGAAAUAGAUCCUGAAACCGUGUGCAUACAAACAGUAGGAGCCUCCUUGUGGGGUGACUGCGUACCUUUUGUAUAAUGGGUCAGCGACUUACAUUCAGUGGCGAGGUUAACCGAAUAGGGAAGCCGUAGAGAAAUCGAGUCCGAACAGGGCGAUAGUCGCUGGGUGUAGACCCGAAACCAAGUGAUCUACUCAUGGCCAGGAUGAAGGUGCGGUAACACGCACUGGAGGU
This 255-nucleotide ribosomal RNA is filed under the name Duganella alba. RNAcentral describes it as "partial 23S ribosomal RNA". It matches the Rfam family "Bacterial large subunit ribosomal RNA", at positions 513 to 773 of the family's 2925-position model. The record is from RNAcentral. Lineage: Bacteria; Pseudomonadati; Pseudomonadota; Betaproteobacteria; Burkholderiales; Oxalobacteraceae.